AUACGUAGGGUGCGAGCGUUGUCCGGAAUUACUGGGCGUAAAGAGCUCGUAGGUGGUUUGUCGCGUCGUCUGUGAAAUUCCGGGGCUUAACUCCGGGCGUGCAGGCGAUACGGGCAUAACUUGAGUACUGUAGGGGAGACUGGAAUUCCUGGUGUAGCGGUGAAAUGCGCAGAUAUCAGGAGGAACACCGGUGGCGAAGGCGGGUCUCUGGGCAGUAACUGGCGCGGAGGAGCGAAAGCAUGGGUAGCGAACAGGAGUAGAUACCCUGGUAUUCCAUGCCGUAAACGGUGGGCGCUAGGUGUAGUGGUCUUCCACGACUUCUGUGCCGUAGCUAACGAAUUAAGCGCCCCGCCUGGGGAGUACGGCCGCAAGGCUAAAACUCAAAUGAAUUGACGGGG
Molecule: ribosomal RNA, 398 nt
Filed under: uncultured bacterium
Lineage: Bacteria
Description: partial 16S ribosomal RNA
Rfam family: Bacterial small subunit ribosomal RNA
Source: RNAcentral